UCUGGAGACAGGUGCUGCAUGGCUGUCGUCAGCUCCGUGUCGUGAGAUGUUGGGUUAAGUCCCGCAACGAGCGCAACCCUUGCCUUUAGUUGCCAGCAGUUCGGGCUGGGCACUCUAAAGGGACUGCCGGUGUUAAACCGGAGGAAGGUGGGGAUGACGUCAAGUCCUCAUGGCCUUUAUGACCAGGGCUACACACGUACUACAAUGGCCGAUACAAAGGGCAGCGACACUGCGAGGUGAAGCCAAUCCCGUAAAAUCGGUCUCAGUCCGGAUUGGAGUCUGCAACUCGACUCCAUGAAGUUGGAAUCGCUAGUAAUCGUGAAUCAGCAUGCCACGGCGAAUACGUUCCCGGGCCUU
This 357-nucleotide ribosomal RNA is filed under the name uncultured Desulfobulbus sp. Its description in RNAcentral is "bacterial SSU rRNA". It matches the Rfam family "Bacterial small subunit ribosomal RNA", at positions 1027 to 1382 of the family's 1533-position model. Lineage: Bacteria; Pseudomonadati; Thermodesulfobacteriota; Desulfobulbia; Desulfobulbales; Desulfobulbaceae. The record is from RNAcentral.